RNAcentral lists this transfer RNA (73 nucleotides) under Diaphorina citri (Asian citrus psyllid). It matches the Rfam family "tRNA". From Rfam's summary of the family: Transfer RNA (tRNA) molecules are approximately 80 nucleotides in length. Lineage: Eukaryota; Metazoa; Arthropoda; Insecta; Hemiptera; Psyllidae. The record is from Rfam by way of RNAcentral.
GCCUAGUUAGCUUAGUUGGUAGUGCGUCUGCCUUGUAAGCGCUAGGCCGCGGGUUCGAUCCCCACCCGGGGCG